GACGAACGCUGGCGGCGUGCUUAACACAUGCAAGUCGAACGGUGAAGCGCCUUCUUUUUUGGUGGGUGGGGAGGAGUGGCGAACGGGUGAGUAACACGCAAGUAACCUGCCCCUUUCUGCUGGUUAACCGCAUGAAAGUGUGGCCAAUACGGGAUAUUCUGGGUCUGUCGCAUGAUUGGUCUGUGUAAGAUAUUGUUUCGGUGGGGGAGGGGCUCGCGGCGUAUCAGCUUGUUGGUGGGGUGAUGGCCUACCAAGGCGGUGACGGGUAGCCGGCCUGAGAGGGUGGACGGUCGCACUGGGAGUGAGACACGGCCCAGACUGCUACGGGCGGCAGCAGUGGGGGGUAGUGCGCAAUGGGCGAGAGCCUGAUGCAGCGGCGCCGCGGGAGGAAUGGAGCCCUUCGGGUUAUGAACCCCUUUCGCCAGUGAAGCAGGCCUGCCUCGUUUGUGGGUGGGUUGACGGUAGCUGGAAAAGAAGCGCCGGCUAACUACGUG
RNAcentral lists this ribosomal RNA (494 nucleotides) under uncultured bacterium. RNAcentral's name for it is "partial 16S ribosomal RNA". It matches the Rfam family "Bacterial small subunit ribosomal RNA", at positions 28 to 507 of the family's 1533-position model. The record is from RNAcentral.